GACGAACGCUGGCGGCGUGCUUAACACAUGCAAGUCGAACGGAAAGGCCCUGCUUUUGUGGGGUGCUCGAGUGGCGAACGGGUGUGUAACACGUGUGUAACCUGCCCUUGACUUUGGUAUAACUUCAGGAAACUGGGGCUAAUACCGGAUAGGAGCUUCUGCUGCAGGGUGGGGGUUGGAAAGUUUCGGCGGUUGGGGAUGGACUCGCGGCUUAUCAGCUUGUUGGUGGGGUAGUGGCUUACCAAGGCUUUGACGGGUAGCCGGCCUGAGGGGGUGACCGGCCACAUUGGGACUGAGAUCCGGCCCAGCCUCCUACGGGAGGAAGAAGUGGGGAAUAUUGCACAAUGGGCGGAAGCCUGAUGCAGCAACGCCGCGUGCGGGAUGACGGCCUUCGGGUUGUAACCCGCUUUCGCCUGUGACGAAGCGUGAGUGACGGUAAUGGGUAAAGAAGCACCGGCUAACUACGUG
RNAcentral lists this ribosomal RNA (468 nucleotides) under uncultured bacterium. Its description in RNAcentral is "partial 16S ribosomal RNA". It matches the Rfam family "Bacterial small subunit ribosomal RNA", at positions 28 to 507 of the family's 1533-position model. The record is from RNAcentral.